Molecule: transfer RNA, 72 nt
Filed under: Phytophthora infestans (potato late blight agent)
Lineage: Eukaryota; Oomycota; Peronosporomycetes; Peronosporales; Peronosporaceae
Description: tRNA-Gln
Rfam family: tRNA
About the family: Transfer RNA (tRNA) molecules are approximately 80 nucleotides in length. Their secondary structure includes four short double-helical elements and three loops (D, anti-codon, and T loops). Further hydrogen bonds mediate the characteristic L-shaped molecular structure. tRNAs have two regions of fundamental functional importance: the anti-codon, which is responsible for specific mRNA codon recognition, and the 3' end, to which the tRNAs corresponding amino acid is attached (by aminoacyl-tRNA synthetases). tRNAs cope with the degeneracy of the genetic code in two manners: having more than one tRNA (with a specific anti-codon) for a particular amino acid; and 'wobble' base-pairing, i.e. permitting non-standard base-pairing at the 3rd anti-codon position.
Source: RNAcentral
GGUCCUAUGGUGUAAUGGUUAGCACUCUGGACUCUGAAUCCAGCGAUCCGGGUUCAAAUCCCGGUAGGACCU